CUAACAUUGGACAUUUUUACAAGGAUAUGUCAUUUUAAAGAAACCCUUCACAUUUGUGUAAGAAAUUUAUGUUGUUUCAUAAAGGAAAAAUGUUUACUACUACAAUUCUACACUUGUGUAGAUCUGACUUGUCAUGGGAAAAAGUUACUGCAUUUUUUUAAAUAUGGAAGCUCGAGAAAUGGCAAGCAUUUUUGUUUUGUUUUUCCUACUUGACACAAGCUAGAUUGGUCUGAGAGGAGGAAAUCUGAAUUAAGAAAAUGCCUCCAUCAUACUGGCCUUGGAGUUCUCUUGACUGAUGAUGGAUGGAGGGGUGGGGGACAUCCUGCUCACUAGGGUGGGGCCACUGUGGGUUGAAGGCUCUGGGUGCUUUAAGAAACCAGGCUCAGCAGGCCACAGGAGCAAGCUAAAGCCUUCAUCCAGCAGCUGAUGGAAGUUGAAGCAGAUACCCACAGCUAAACCUGAACUGAACUGGAAUCCAGUUGAAGAGAAGGAGGAGUGAGAGCAAAGAGUCAAGACCAGGCUGUUGAAACCCACAGAAAUACCGGACCUUAAUAAGGGAGAGAACUUGGCCCCCAGACUGAUCACUGGGAAACCAGCUUUGAACUCAUCCAGAUCCCAUGAAUGUAGGUGUCAGUGAGGAGGUCUCAGAAAUCUACGGGGCCUCUUGUGAUAGAUGAGUACUUAUCCCUAGCAUAGGAAUGGACUUUGGGAGCCCAUUUCACAUAGACGGAUACUGGCUCAGCCUACACACAUGGAGAAGGGCCUUGGCCAUAUGCCGAAGGAUAUGACAGAUAGGGAGGACGCUCCCAUGAAAUAUCUCACUUUUCCUCACUAUCCCUGAAAUGGCAUGGGAUAGGUACGGUUUUAGUCGGGGACUGUGUAGGAGGAGAAGGAGAAGGAACUGGGAUUGACAUGUAAAACAAUAUUGUUUUUAUUUAAAUUAGAAAAUGGAGGGGAAACAGAAAAGAAAAAGAAAUAAAAUUUAUGUUCACAUAAAUAUCUGUAAAAAAAACAACUUCAUUAUUUAUAAAAUAACUCUUGAGUUGAUGGAGUAGAUGGAAACAGGCUGGGGGAUGAGGGCAAUUGUAAAAAGACACACCUAGACUCUUAGGAAGGUGAUGACUGAAUUUUUAAACCUUAGUUUCUAUGGAAUUUUCUUACUG
This 1163-nucleotide long non-coding RNA is filed under the name Cricetulus griseus (Chinese hamster). RNAcentral describes it as "lncRNA (ENSCGRG00015031744.1)". Lineage: Eukaryota; Metazoa; Chordata; Mammalia; Rodentia; Cricetidae. The record is from RNAcentral.